CUCAUGGAAUUAGCAUUUUUUAUGUUGCUAAAUUACAUAAUUAAUCCUCUAAAAUUGCAGCCCAAUUAUAAUUGUUUUAGUUUUUUUUUCUUUUUCUCUUUGCUUCCUCCUUCCGACAUUGAUGACGCUUCUUAUAUGAAAUUAGCAGAAAAUAAAAUUGUAACCUCUUUCUAACUUCUCAUAUCCGCUUUCUGAUUCAGUGAUGUAUCUCAUCUGCUUGGUUGUCUAAAUCGGUAGAUUUGAAGUCCACAAUCUCUAGAAUCUACCAAUAUCAUCAUACCAGAACUUCAAUCGGGUCUGCUAUUCCAAGUCUUCAAAUAGUUUCACUUGCAACUCAAGGAUUUCCGAGCCGUUUCCGGCAUAGGUAGGUUGGACUUCAGUAGUUGGCGCAACUCCAAACUGAGUCCCAACGACUCAACACGAGCUUGCAUCUGAGUGACAUCACCCGCAGUCUGAAUAGCCGAUUUCAAAUCCGACGAAGGAUAAAUUUGACGAAGACACGCCAUGAUUUCAGCUCGUCACGACCGUGCUCAACCACGGUUAUAACAGAUUCGAACCGGUAGGGUUGGUUUGUGGUGUCGUUCGGAGGGAUCUUAGAUCCAACGUAGUACUUCACUGUCAUCAGACAACUCAAAUUUAUGCUUAUUGUCCAUGGAUUCCUCUCUUAUGCUGUCAUUGCCUCACUGGAUCUGUGAUAGUUCUGAUCGGGUUCCAUUUGUUGUUCUUGCUGAAGGUUAUGUUAACUUUACUUGGCUUUAUCUCUUAUCUUGUUAUUACCGUUUACUAUUGCUUCACCUGCCCUAUAGGAUACGUUAUGGUUUCAUAUGCUUCUUGACCAUAGGGUUUACUUAUUUGCUUGUUCUGGAAGAUUUUUGUCGUCUAUAUGCUGCAUAUGUUGUUCAUUCGAUUGUGUAAUUUGUGUUUAGGCUCACAUAUACAUAUAGUCCUUUAAGUCUAUUUUAUUGUUUCAUUUGGUGUUUGGGUUCUUUCAGUUGUAUAACCUUAGGGUUUAGUGUUCUAUUUAGAGCGAGUUUCAUUUAUUUCUUGGGUUCCUUUGGUAAUUGUCCUUAGGGUAUAGUUUUUUUCUUAAUACAUGUGUUUCAUUUGGUCCUUGGGUUCCCUAGUUAUAAUCCUUAAGGUCUAGUUUUUUCCUUAAUACAUGUGUUUCAUUUGGUCCUUGGGUUCCCUAGUCACAAUCCUUAGGGUAUAAUUUUUUCUUUAAUACAUGUGUUUCAUUUGGUCCUUGGGUUCCCUUAGUUACAAUCCUUAAGGUAUAAUUAUUUUAUUAAUUCCUGUGUGUUUGAAAUGAAAGGGUAGGUUUCUCCAAGGAAUUGAUAUUGUUGCUCGACGAAAUAAACUCUGCAACUGAUCUGCAAGAAGCUUUUGAUAUUGUCGGAGUUCUGGCUGAUCUUGGGAAUGGAAAAGGUUGAGAGAAAGUUUUGGUUUUGGGAAUGAAGUAGAGCUAUGUGUGUUUUAUUUUGUUGUGUCUGUCAUUGAUAUUUGGGAUAAAUUGUCGAGAAUUUUGGUUGUUGUAAACACUCGUUUUAUCGUCUUAUCAAUGCAAAACACACAUAUUGCUCUUUGCUUAA
Long non-coding RNA from Camelina sativa (false flax), 1589 nucleotides. RefSeq lists it as uncharacterized. The record is from RefSeq and is a predicted model, not a curated record. NCBI's taxonomy places the organism in Eukaryota, Viridiplantae, Streptophyta, Magnoliopsida, Brassicales, Brassicaceae.